This is a small nuclear RNA of Lynx canadensis (Canada lynx), 104 nucleotides long. Lineage: Eukaryota; Metazoa; Chordata; Mammalia; Carnivora; Felidae. The record is from Ensembl.
GUACUUGUUUCAACAGCAUAUAUGCUAAAAUUGGAAUGAUACAGAGAUUAGCAUGGCUCCUGCUCAGGGACGACAUGCAAAUUAAUGAGGCAUUGUAUAUUUUU